AGCAUUAUGCCUCCCUCUCUCUGCGACCAUUUUUCAAUAGCACAAUGAAAAGCACUAACUUGAAUUACAUUUGAAUUACGCUAACCUAUUGACUUCCAGUUCAACGUGGCCAUUCUGUGCAACACAAAGAUACAAGAAAUCACCUGGCGUAGAAACUUGAAUACUGCACUACAGCAAAACUCUAGCGACUUUGGAGCUUUAUGCAAUAACUCCGCGGAAUGCAACGCUGCAUUAUUAAGGCGUGCUAAUUAGACUAACCAUCACUUAAAACAAUCCAGCCAAACAAAAAAUAGGCUGUUUGACGCAAAGACCAACCGACUUUUAAUUAAACUUUAAUUCAAACUAAUGGAUCUACAUGAAAAAGCCACGAUGAACACACAGACUAUGCUCGCCAGGCAACUGACAAGAGUGUAUUUUCAGAAGGGAUUGAAGGAGUAUAUCUGUAUUGGGAAAAUAUGUAUUUAAAUAAAAAAUUACAGUAGGAGAGGUAAGACUCAAUAUAUUUCAGAUUUGACAGAGGGAGGGUGCAAUAACACACUAAAAAACCCAAUACCUUCAUUCAUGUGACUUCAUUCUGAUUGCAGCUCAAUUAGCCUACACCACCUGAACAAUUUUUUUUUUUUACAACGAAUAAAAUCUAAAUGCAUUUUUUCCAUGUAGAGCUUAUUAGUUCCCUAAUUAUUUCCUCUUUCUCCAGGAGGAAUAAAUAGGCAUCUCUGCGGUUCCCUGUACUGGGCUGCAUAUUGCAAACGUGAUCGUAGGUCUGCUCGAGGCAAUGAUCAGUGAGUGUCCUCACCUAUGGACACGCAGUAAAAUCUCACAUCGUUUUGACAGCACUUUGUCUAUGUUUAGCACUCUAAUAAAAGCAUCUGGAAGAAGGAAAAGCACAAUGACCAUCCCGUAUUGCAGGGUACUGUAGCAUAAGUUAACAGCAUUUCUCAACUUUGCAAGCAAGAAGUCAGGAAUAAUCAUAUUCAGAAAUAUCAGAAACAAAGCCCCCACAUCAAAACAGCAACUUAGGAAGAACCCAA
Molecule: long non-coding RNA, 1031 nt
Filed under: Gallus gallus (chicken)
Lineage: Eukaryota; Metazoa; Chordata; Aves; Galliformes; Phasianidae
Description: lncRNA (ENSGALG00010026308.1)
Source: RNAcentral